UGGUGAGCAUGGGGGAGAACGCGAGCCAGACGAAGCCGACGCCCGCGAGAGGAACGUAAACCGCGGCGGUGGGGACGGUGUUGCGGAUGAGGUCACCGAGGAAGCAACCGAGAAUUUCCAUGAAGCCAAUGAUGAAGUUCGUGGCGACAGACACCUUCCAGCCGAACUCGGCCGCCUUCUUGCCCAUGGCGAUGGAGUCCGCAUCCGACGCGCCGGUGCCGGGGUUGAACUUGGUAAAGCCGGCUUGGAUAGCGGGCAGGGAGAUGGCGUAGAUGGUGAUGUAGAUCACGGUGGUGUUCAUGCCGUAAGGCUGAGCGGUGACGUCGAGGCGGUUCUCCUUGGUCGCCAGGCGCGUGGCGAGCCACGCGAACCAGACGUUGCCGAAGAGGAGGGCCAGGCCGCAGGCGGGGAUGUUCCAAUCGUAGUAGAUCCUCGUCCAUUCGCCAGUGACGGUCGCUUUGUA
This 463-nucleotide long non-coding RNA is filed under the name Micromonas commoda. Its description in RNAcentral is "long non-coding RNA (MCOM_LNC000167)". Lineage: Eukaryota; Viridiplantae; Chlorophyta; Mamiellophyceae; Mamiellales; Mamiellaceae. The record is from RNAcentral.